This 291-nucleotide ribosomal RNA is filed under the name uncultured bacterium. RNAcentral describes it as "partial 16S ribosomal RNA". It matches the Rfam family "Bacterial small subunit ribosomal RNA", at positions 333 to 640 of the family's 1533-position model. The record is from RNAcentral.
UGGGUCCUACGGGGGGCAGCAGUGGGGAAUAUUGCACAAUGGGGGAAACCCUGAUGCAGCGACGCCGCGUGAGUGAAGAAGUAUCUCGGUAUGUAAAGCUCUAUCAGCAGGGAAGAAAAAAGACGGUACCUGACUAAGAAGCCCCGGCUAACUACGUGCCAGCAGCCGCGGUAAUACGUAGGGGGCAAGCGUUAUCCGGAUUUACUGGGUGUAAAGGGAGCGUAGACGGCGCGGCAAGUCUGCAGUGAAAGGCAGGGGCUUAACCCCUGAACUGCUUUGGAAACUGCCAUG